This is a long non-coding RNA of Salvia splendens (bonfire salvia), 1188 nucleotides long. RefSeq lists it as uncharacterized. NCBI's taxonomy places the organism in Eukaryota, Viridiplantae, Streptophyta, Magnoliopsida, Lamiales, Lamiaceae. The transcript is spliced from 2 exons. The record is from RefSeq and is a predicted model, not a curated record.
UGAGAGAGCACCUCUAUUUAUAAGUAACUAGAGAACCCUAAUUCUAGUCAAACUAGGAAACAUAUUCCAUAAGGAAAUAUCUUUUAAGGAAUAAAUCUAUCACAAGGUGGUUAGGAUUGUCUACGACUGUAAUUUUGAUUUCAGGAAUAAAUCUAUCACAAUCGUAAUCUAAUAUAGUCGCGUAUGGAUUUCGAGUGACCAAAACGACUGGCCAACAUAAGGUGGUUAGGAUUGUCUACGACUGUAAUUUUGAAACGGAGCCUUCGUAUAGAUUUAUGCUUACCAAACUUCAUGGCGCGGUGUACACUCUUGGAACUCGAACAUGGAGAAGCAUCACACCCGCUGCUUCGAUACGGUUCGACACGAUUGGGAUAUUUCUAAACGGAAAUCUUCACUAGUUGGUGGCAGAUCCAAACACCCCACCACAAAUUUGUUGCUUCGAUCUUGAAACAGAGCUUUUCAGCAACUUCUUUCACCCCCCUCUGGUCAAUGGAGAGUCUGUUGGGAGCUUGUCGGCUUUGGCGGGUAGCCUAUGCCUCUGUGAUAAUUCAUCUGAAGAAAAAAUCAUCAUCUGGGUGAUGGGGGAAUAUGGGGAUGAGACUUCUUGGACAAAGGAAUAUGUCAUCAACAGAGAUCUCGAUGUUUGUGGAGACUAUAUGAUUGUUUCCCCUAUUAAAAUUUUCGAAGAUGGUGACGUUCUGAUGGAAUAUGAAGAAUCCCUGCUGUUUUACUACUCCGACGAGAUGAAAACUAUAAGGAAGAUUGAGAUGUUUGAAGCUUGUAGUGGAAAUCAUAUUUGUGUUAAUGCAAUUCUCCACACCCCGAGCUUUCUGUCGCUGAGAAAUUUCGGAAAGGAGCUGGAACCAACUUUCACCGAGGAUCGCUAUGAGCUUUUAACUUAAUCUAGAAAAUUGGUGUAGGAAUAAAAUUGAACCAAAAGCAUCUUUGAUUUAUGGAUACAAGAGCCAUGGAGCAUCUGCUCAAGGAUGAAUCUCUGAUGGUAAGCACAUAAUAUUAUUGAGUUUAUGUUUUGAGAUGAACACCCUUAUGAUGACAUUGCAUAGUGACCAUGAUAAUAAUACAUGUAUAAUCCGAUCUAGGCCCCUCCAUUUUCUGAUCCAAUGGCUUAUAAUAGGUCUUUGCUUUGCACUUUGGGGCUAAUUUCAACCUAAUGUGACUCUGUCUCUA